Molecule: small RNA, 589 nt
Filed under: Oryza sativa Japonica Group (Japanese rice)
Lineage: Eukaryota; Viridiplantae; Streptophyta; Magnoliopsida; Poales; Poaceae
Description: misc RNA Os02g0818500
Source: RNAcentral
CUGAGCACUGACUACCGAGGCACCGAGUGUGAGAGGCAACGGCGGUCAGGGAGCAGGCGUGGUUCGUCGGCGAGCAGCUGCGGGCAACGGUGCCUUGGCGUCACGCAUCCGCCGUCACUCACCUCAAGCUUGCGGGCUCUGCGACCACCCUCUCAUAGUCAUAGGCCACAGAAGGUGUAGUAGUACUUCAUACAUUUCGAGCAGUUUCUUUCAGAUUGUUUGUUUUUGAGCUUCUAAUUUUGGGAUGCAUUAGAUAGUGAUGAAAGCCUAAGAGUCGGUAAUAUGACUUAUUGGAAUUUUAGUGUUGGUACUCACAGUCAGAACAUACUCCUAUUUUGCAUCACAUUUGCCUUGUGCGUGCUGCUGGUCUGUUCCACUCGUGAACAUCAGACGCGAAGAUUAUAGAUCCACCCCUGAUUUGAAGGUGUUCACAGAUUCAGGUACUGCCAAUUGCCUGGAUGAACACCAGCCCAUUUGCUCCUUUUCCCCUUGCGUUAUUUUCCCUGUAUUUUACUAGCUGCCGUAGCUGGAACACAAUUCCCUUUCAAGAUGUCAUAUUUAUGGAAUAUAAUUCAUUUUUAAGAUGCCG